UUUAGCCAAACUUUGUGGAUGACAUCUAUUCAUCCCUCACUGACAUGAUGGUAAUGCUGGUGAACGCAGCAGAAGUGCUCUCUGAACAGAUGUGGUUACACCUGUGAGCGACCCAUUUUGUUCCUAAAAUUAGCUGAGUUGCAUAUGCUUCAUUCAGUGUGUUCAUCUUUGAUUUCUUCAAUACAGACAUGUUGAUUAAAAAUGUCAGUAUAUACAGUAUUAUAUUGCUUAUAUUUCUUUGUGAUGCCCAUUGUCAAACAACGGUUGAAAAGUGUUUUGGUAUUUCUACAUUUUACRGUAAAAACAGCGUGUGUCACAAAGGUGUACUGUGGGUAUUGGUUUUCAUAUUUAUGUAUUUUUUUAAUCAAUAAGCCACCAGUUAAAUGAUCAGGAGUCUGUGAAUGUCUUUCAUUUGAUUUAUUUUAGCUGUUUUGUACAGGCAGCUGGAUAUAAACCACCUUAAUCUUUAGGUGAAGCUAUUAGAUCCUUACAUGCAACACAAACUUGUAAAACAAAACAUGUUUACAAAAACUAACACAUAAAUUGGUUGUUACAUCCUGGUUUGGAGCUUGAGUUUUGCACAGAAAAAGUACCAAAGGAAAAAACAACUGUUUCUUAUAUUGUCAUGGGUGCAUCAAGGUACACAGAUUUCAUACACAAAAAUAAGUUUACAGGUUUCUCACAGAAGAACAGGUUUCAGAAAAAUAUCAGUGCAUUCAGCAAAUUUUUCAAAAAAAAUUUUUUUCUUAGCUUUUUGACAAAAUCUGUGCUUUUUUUCUCACAUCCCUUGAGUGUUCCUUUUAGCGAGGUGUUGGCGAUACUACAACUUUGAUUAUGAUCCAAUACCAAGUGAAUACUUGACAAACAUACUCGAUAUUGAUGCUUUUUACUUGUAUUGGGAUGUUCAUUGAAUAACUUUGAUAUUUAUUUACUUAGUCGAAUAUGAUGAGACAGAACCAAGAUUUUAGGGCAGGGUCAGACUAAAAAUAUAAGGAUACUAAAAUAUUGCUUUCUACUGAACAGAACCUGUUUAAAAAGUAUUGUAGCCAAUACAGUAUUAUGUGAUCAUAUUUCGUACAUAAUAGUUGCUUAUGAAUAUCACUUAUUUAAGAAGAAAUUCAUUUCAAAACAAAAAUCAAAUAACCACUGGUUUCUUGUUUUUUAAUUCCCAAUUCUAAAAAGAAAAUCCAAUGACUGAAACAUACACUGACCCAAGAGGAGCAUCAUGGUGAAAGCUAUAAUGCUGCGCUUGUGAAAGUAAAACUGUUGGGCUUCACCUUGGCACUCUGAGUUUUACAUUGCCAAAUUGGACCUGGUUUAAAAAAGGAAACUAAACUGUCAUUUGAAGAUCUCACAGAGCUUUGAUAAAACCACGGUUGCAGCCAUGUCGCAGAGACAGUGAUUGCCCUGGAGAUGAAAAAUGCUGCGUAUUUGACUUCGGAUCUGGUUGUGUCCCUCCUGAGCCAUCUGCUCUUAAGUGUCCACCUCAUGGAAGAUUUGGGUCUUGUAUUGAAGGAUGUUUUGAUGGAUGAAAAAAUGGUCAGAUGUGCUGCUCUACUG
Austrofundulus limnaeus is the source of this 1560-nucleotide long non-coding RNA. RefSeq lists it as uncharacterized. The record is from RefSeq and is a predicted model, not a curated record. The transcript is spliced from 3 exons. NCBI's taxonomy places the organism in Eukaryota, Metazoa, Chordata, Actinopteri, Cyprinodontiformes, Rivulidae.